UCUCUUCUCCCUCGGUGUCGGCUUCUCCAUCGCGAGCCUCUCUCCAGUUCUCCCUCGCUGUCGGAUUCUGUUCUCCUUCUCCCUCGCCGGCCGCCGGCUCACAAUUCUGUUCCCUCGCGACUCUCUGUUCUCCAGUUGCUAGCAAAAGAGGGACAUUGGAUGGAAUUAUGGCACUCAAGGGUUGGAUAAUUUGAAGAAGAAUAGACUUUUAAAGUUUUGGUUUAUUGUAUUUUGAAUUGUUUGGUCUUUAAAGUUUUAGACAUUUUAGUAUCUACUAUUGGUUUUUGAAUUGAAUAUUUGUUAAUAUGUGUUAUUGCUAUUAAGAUUUUGGACAAAAUAUGCAGUUAAAUAUUUUUAAUUUUUGGUAUUAAUUGACGCCUUUAUUCAAAAAGGCAAGCGCCUCGCCGCUCGCCUCGCCGCGUGGCGAGGCAGGCCCUUGUCGCCUUUUGUCGCCUCUCGCCGUCCACAACACUGAUUCUAGAUAGCUAUUCUAAUUAAUAGAUCGAUACAGAUGCCUGACCCACUGGAAAUUUAAUAGAAAAUCACACAUAAUAGCAGGAAGUAAGGACCACUUUACAGAAAAAAAACAUUGUGCCACUUUUACUUAUGUUGGAGAAAAGAAAUCAUAUUUAUUGAAUAAAUCAAACGUGGACUUAAGAGUGAUCCAUAAGGUUAUUGCCAUAAUGUUACUAAACUAGUAUCAGAUGCACUGUAGUCUAUGAUGGGGUUGGGGCACAUUUCUUACGUAUCACAGGAUUCAAAUGAGGAAAAAGCAAGAAGCUGGCAGGAGGACACAAAGGUGAGAGUGAAAGUUUAUUACCAAAAGAUAUUCAAGGAAGCAUGUAAUAGCAUCAAAAAAUGACCGAGGACGAAUACACAUUUUGGGUGGAUAUACUGGAUGAUUAUAAAAUGAUGCAACUCAAUGGACCACCUGAAGUAAGGGGUAUAAGUAAUAAAGGUAUAAGUGGUAAGCACUGAGCUAUUAAAUUGUUCAAAAGCUAACUAGCAUUUGCUUGAUGCAAAAAGGCACAGCGAGUAAAACUCAUGAUAGCUUUUGUCAUUCAGAGUGAGCUAAAGAUUGGCUGCAUCACUUACGUACUUCUUUUUGCAUCUAGGUGAUAGUUUCUACUAAUUGAAGAAAAUGUGACGGAUUUUUCAAAUUCAAAAAAAAAAAAAAAAA
This is a long non-coding RNA of Solanum lycopersicum (tomato), 1180 nucleotides long. RefSeq lists it as uncharacterized. The record is from RefSeq and is a predicted model, not a curated record. NCBI's taxonomy places the organism in Eukaryota, Viridiplantae, Streptophyta, Magnoliopsida, Solanales, Solanaceae.